UGUUUAUUAGUUUCAUACAUAUAUACAUUCACUGUGAUACUAAUUAAUUAAGUCUAACUUAACUUGUUGAAUUAACAUCUAAUGCUUUUACUCUCAAUACAUACUGCAAAGUAUUGCAACUAACACCACUAUUUAUUGUGAUGUCAGCCUUUAAUCGAGUCCAGAUUCAUUAUGAUUUGUCAUUUGAGCAUCUAGCUUGCCUAGUGAACAAAAAUUGCAGCUUGGUUAAGAUGACUACAAUUCAAGAAGUAAGAUUGGAACUACUUGAUGCAUUACCAACCACAAGUAGUCAUUCUUUCAAAGGCAUUUGAUGACUAACUAGUUGCAUCACUCAUGAUGUCACUAUGUUUUCUUGGGUUGCUCCAAAGAUGAUGCGCAUUGUAGAC
Molecule: long non-coding RNA, 386 nt
Organism: Ipomoea nil (Japanese morning glory)
Lineage: Eukaryota; Viridiplantae; Streptophyta; Magnoliopsida; Solanales; Convolvulaceae
Exons: 3
Source: RefSeq, a predicted model, not a curated record